This 1053-nucleotide long non-coding RNA is filed under the name Olea europaea subsp. europaea. Lineage: Eukaryota; Viridiplantae; Streptophyta; Magnoliopsida; Lamiales; Oleaceae. The record is from RNAcentral.
ACAUUCCUAAUCCAUCUCAAUAGGUACAUAAUACUUAAACUAGAGUAAUUGGAAUGACUACAUGAAGACAAUGAAAGCUAACACGAGAUAGUGCUACACAUACAAAAGUUAUGUCAAAAGCCGAGAGGAAAUUUCUAUCUAAUAAUCAACUCGAUCGCUUCCCUUUUGCAUUCGCUUCCGCACUAGAAUUCGCCUUACAUAUUUGCACAUUCACCAAAAUAUGUAGGUCUUCAUCAUCGUUUAGGUGAACGCGAGAUUCAAACAUUUUGGACAUUUCUUCAUCAUUUUUGUUUGUCGCAAAGUUUACUAAUGAAGAAUUGUUGCUAGACGAUUCAUCGGGUGAUUUUUCUUUGACAACCCAAUCUCAAAAUCCGCAUUUCUCACUGCAACAGAGAAAUAAUCUCUCUUUAUUUGCUGUCUGCUUCUCCACCAUGAAAUACUUCUCAUAUCCAUUCUUGCAUGCCGGGCAUCUGCACUUCCUUGGGCAUUCAUCAAAGAAAUGGCCCCUAGCUCUACAACUAUGACACAUUCCUCUAUUCUUUCCGCCCAUUCUGCCAUACAAAUAAAUCACGAUUAACAGAAAUGAAUUCACGGCCACUAUAACAAUUAAAGAAACCACGUCAAUAUUGAAGAACAUUGAUAAUUUCAUCUCAAAUUUCACAGUGAUCAUGCAAUAACAGGCUGUGAUUGUUGACAAUUGCUGACAACAUGUUGGAAUGCAACAUACAGAGCCUUCUUCAUCAUUAAUGUAACAUGUUAGACCCCCUUCAAUUUAGCAGCACUAAACUAUGAACAACCAUGGAGGUGAACACUCGAAAAUAACAAAAACACAAACAUUAACUUCAUAGUAACGUGGAAAAAUAGUGAUAAAGAUGUAUAAUGACAUUGCACAAUGAAAUUAAAAAGAAUAAAAAUUUCAUACAAAGACACCAACAGUUCACCAACAAUUCACAAAUUUUUUAUACGAAUUUAAUAAAAAAUGUGCAAAAAUGGGAGAUGAAGAUUGCAAUAUCCCGAAAUUCAGCUACGCGAUGCCAUAUCAUAAACAAAUCU